GAUGAAGAACGCAGCGAAAUGCGAUAACUAAUGUGAAUUGCAGAAUUCCGUGAAUCAUCGAGUCUUUGAACGCACAUUGCGCCCCCUGGUAUUCCGGGGGGCAUGCCUGUCCGAGCGUCAUUACAACCCUCAAGCCCGGCUUGUGUAAUGGGCGGCCGUCUCUCCCCCCGGGGGGAGACGCCCCCGAAACUCAGUGGGGAUGUCGCGAUACCGAAGCCUCAGCUAAUGGGUAAACCACAGCUGCAAUGGCCGCGGCCGGCGUCCGCCUUCCACGGUCCGUCCGCCUAGCGCGGGCGGCCUUCUCAAGGUUGACCUCGGAUCAGGUAGGGAUACCCGCUGAAUUUAAGCAUAUCAAUAAGCGGAGGA
This 366-nucleotide unclassified non-coding RNA is filed under the name soil metagenome. RNAcentral describes it as "partial contains 5.8S ribosomal RNA, internal transcribed spacer 2, and large subunit ribosomal RNA". The stretch from base 1 to 120 matches the Rfam family "5.8S ribosomal RNA", at positions 35 to 154 of the family's 154-position model. The record is from RNAcentral.